This 460-nucleotide ribosomal RNA is filed under the name uncultured bacterium. RNAcentral's name for it is "partial 16S ribosomal RNA". It matches the Rfam family "Bacterial small subunit ribosomal RNA", at positions 338 to 795 of the family's 1533-position model. The record is from RNAcentral.
CCUACGUGUGGCUGCAGUGAGGAAUAUUGGUCAAUGGGCGCGAGCCUGACCCAGCCAAGUAGCGUGAAGGAUGACUGCCCUACGGGUUGUAAACUUCUUUUAUACAGGAAUCAAGUGAGGCACGUGUGCCUUUUUGUAUUUACUUUAUGAAUAAGGAUCGGCUAACUCCGUGCCAGCAGCCGCGGUAAUACGGAGGAUCCGAGCGUUAUCCGGAUGUAUUGGGUUUAACGGGAGCGUAGAUGGGUUGUUAAGUCAGUUGUGAAAGUUUGCGGCUCAACCGUAAAAUUGCAAUUGAUACUGGCAGUCUUGAGUACAGUUGAGGUAGGCGGAAUUCGUGGUGUAGCGGUGAAAUGCUGAGAGAUGACGAAGAACUCCGAUUGCGAAGGCAGCUUACUAAACUGCCACUGACAUUGAUGCUCGAAAGUGUGGGUAGCAAACAGGAUUAGAUACCCCAGUAGUC